Molecule: ribosomal RNA, 930 nt
Filed under: uncultured bacterium
Lineage: Bacteria
Description: bacterial SSU rRNA
Rfam family: Bacterial small subunit ribosomal RNA
Source: RNAcentral
GCUCAGAUUGAACGCUGGCGGAAUGCUUUACACAUGCAAGUCGAACGGCAGCACGGACUUCGGUCUGGUGGCGAGUGGCGAACGGGUGAGUAACAUAUCGGAACGAAUCCAAUAAUGGGGGAUAACUAAUCGAAAGGUUGGCUAAUACCGCAUACGCCCUACGGGGGAAAGCUAGGGAUCUUCGGACCUGGCGUUAAUGGAGCGGCCGAUAUCUGAUUAGCUAGUUGGUGGGGUAAAGGCCCACCAAGGCGACGAUCAGUAGCUGGUCUGAGAGGACGACCAGCCACACUGGAACUGAGACACGGUCCAGACUCCUACGGGAGGCAGCAGUGGGGAAUUUUGGACAAUGGGCGCAAGCCUGAUCCAGCCAUUCCGCGUGAGUGAAGAAGGCCUUCGGGUUGUAAAGCUCCUUCGCAAGGGAAGAAAACUUAUUCACUAACAUUGAAUGAGGUUGACGGUACCUUGAUAAGAAGCACCGGCUAACUACGUGCCAGCAGCCGCGGUAAUACGUAGGGUGCGAGCGUUAAUCGGAAUUACUGGGCGUAAAGCGUGCGCAGGCGGUUUUGUAAGUCAGAUGUGAAAUCCCCGAGCUCAACUUGGGAACUGCGUUUGAAACUACAAGACUAGAAUAUGUCAGAGGGGGGUAGAAUUCCACGUGUAGCAGUGAAAUGCGUAGAGAUGUGGAGGAAUACCAAUGGCGAAGGCAGCCCCCUGGGAUAAUAUUGACGCUCAUGCACGAAAGCGUGGGGAGCAAACAGGAUUAGACACCCUGGUAGUCCACGCCCUAAACGAUGUCUACUAGUUGUUGGUGGAGUAAAAUCCAUGAGUAACGCAGCUAACGCGUGAAGUAGACCGCCUGGGGAGUACGAUCGCAAGAUUAAAACUCAAAUGAAUUGACGGGGCCCGCACAAGCGGUGGAUUAUGUGGAUU